GCGGAAAUGCAAGCCGAGCAUGCUGGCGUGAAAGCCCCCGGGGCCUGGCACCCCCAAAAACGACCCCCCACCUCCGUUCCUGCCCUCAUUGCCCAGGGCUACCCCUCUUCCUCUUCUUUCAUCCACCCCUCCCCCAACAUUACCUGUGUGGCCGACUCAAAUUCAAAGCAUUUUGUAUAUAUAACUGUUUUCUUUUUUUGCUUUUCUGCUGCAUGUCUUUUUCGUGGGGGGUGAUCCUCUGCAGAUCCCCCCAUUUGCGGACCCGCCAUGUGGAGGAGGCAUUUGGGGGGCUCAGAAGGAAAUUAGCUCGGCUUCCAUACCUAUAAGGACUGCCUAACUUUUAAACUCCCGGCACUCAAAGAUGUGGACACACACACGUACAGGAAAUACAGCCAGACCAGAGCCUUUGCAGUCCGCAGCUGACCGGAAGACGUUGCCUUUCAUUCAUUCAUUCUGCCCGCCUCUGUGGACUCCUUUACUAGGCGACCAGCCCUGAAACAGAAGUUGGACAUUUUUUAAAGGUUCUUGCGCUCGGCAAGGGGAGCAGAUAGAUGCUCAGGAGCGAAAGACGCAGAGAAUUGGAUCUGGCGCCUCCUAACGCAGCCCGCACAGGAGCGAAGGAGAGUGUGACGAUCCCCCUGAUGCGGCUGAGAUGUUCUGAAAUGAAGACGUUGGCUCUCAUCCCCAGCCUGA
RNAcentral lists this long non-coding RNA (693 nucleotides) under Homo sapiens (human). Its description in RNAcentral is "HSALNT0371032". The record is from RNAcentral. Lineage: Eukaryota; Metazoa; Chordata; Mammalia; Primates; Hominidae.